Molecule: ribosomal RNA, 465 nt
Filed under: Vreelandella stevensii
Lineage: Bacteria; Pseudomonadati; Pseudomonadota; Gammaproteobacteria; Oceanospirillales; Halomonadaceae
Description: partial 16S ribosomal RNA
Rfam family: Bacterial small subunit ribosomal RNA
Source: RNAcentral
CCUACGGGCGGCUGCAGUGGGGAAUAUUGGACAAUGGGGGCAACCCUGAUCCAGCCAUGCCGCGUGUGUGAAGAAGGCCCUCGGGUUGUAAAGCACUGUCAGUGAGGAAGAACGCCUGGUGGUUAAUACCCAUCAGGAAAGACAUCACUCACAGAAGAAGCACCGGCUAACUCCGUGCCAGCAGCCGCGGUAAUACGGAGGGUGCGAGCGUUAAUCGGAAUUACUGGGCGUAAAGCGCGCGUAGGUGGCUUGAUAAGCCGGUUGUGAAAGCCCCGGGCUCAACCUGGGAACGGCAUCCGGAACUGUCAAGCUAGAGUGCAGGAGAGGAAGGUAGAAUUCCCGGUGUAGCGGUGAAAUGCGUAGAGAUCGGGAGGAAUACCAGUGGCGAAGGCGGCCUUCUGGACUGACACUGACGCUGAGGUGCGAAAGCGUGGGUAGCAAACAGGAUUAGAUACCCCAGUAGUC